UAGCUGUGUUGGCUUUCUAACCCGCACCACUUAUCGUGGUGGGAGACAGUGUCAGGCGGGCAGUUUGACUGGGGCGGUCGCCUCCUAAAAGGGAACGGAGGCGCUCAAAGGUUCCCUCAGAAUGGUUGGAAAUCAUUCAUAGAGUGUAAAGGCAUAAGGGAGCUUGACUGCGAGACCUACAAGUCGAGCAGGGUCGAAAGACGGACUUAGUGAUCCGGUG
RNAcentral lists this ribosomal RNA (220 nucleotides) under Staphylococcus aureus. RNAcentral's name for it is "partial 23S ribosomal RNA". It matches the Rfam family "Bacterial large subunit ribosomal RNA", at positions 2206 to 2425 of the family's 2925-position model. The record is from RNAcentral. Lineage: Bacteria; Bacillati; Bacillota; Bacilli; Caryophanales; Staphylococcaceae.